Molecule: ribosomal RNA, 254 nt
Filed under: uncultured bacterium
Lineage: Bacteria
Description: partial 16S ribosomal RNA
Rfam family: Bacterial small subunit ribosomal RNA
Source: RNAcentral
UACAGAGGUGGCAAGCGUUGUUCGGAAUUACUGGGCGUAAAGGGCGCGUAGGCGGCCUUCUAAGUCAGACGUGAAAUCCCCCGGCUUAACCUGGGAACUGCGUCUGAUACUGGGAGGCUUGAGUAUGGGAGAGGGAUGUAGAAUUCCAGGUGUAGCGGUGAAAUGCGUAGAUAUCUGGAGGAACACCGGUGGCGAAGGCGGCAUCCUGGACCGGUAUUGACGCUGAGGCGCGAAAGCGUGGGGAGCAAACAGGG